RNAcentral lists this long non-coding RNA (525 nucleotides) under Anser brachyrhynchus (Pink-footed goose). Its description in RNAcentral is "lncRNA (ENSABRG00000005845.1)". Lineage: Eukaryota; Metazoa; Chordata; Aves; Anseriformes; Anatidae. The record is from RNAcentral.
AAAAAAAAAAAAAAAAACUCUUCCAAAAAAGCACCGGUCUGCAGAUGUCUGCAAGAGAAUCAACAAACCCUCCUUCUUCUACGGCAGGGCAGGGGACGUAUUCACUGGGAGCUUUAGGAUAAUGCAUUUGUGGAGACUGGAACUGAAAAUGUUAAUACUAUUGUAAGGUUUUUUCCUCUGUGGACUGAGAAAGCAAGGCCCUUUCCAGGACACAAGAGAUUUGGACUGGACUUUUGUAAAAUAAGCCCUGCUACGAAAAGCUACUUGAAAGCUCCUUGGGAAAAAUAUACCUUAUGCUGGUGCCAUGCCUUGUUUGGCUCAACUGGGGAAAAAAAAAAAAAAAAAAAAAAAAACAACUUGCUACCUUACUAAAGCUUCUUGAAAAUCAUGUGAAAUAGUGUUUCUCCACUUGACAUUUUUGGAAAACAAGAACAAAAACAGAACAUAAUGAUGGUCUUUUUCUCCCAGGACAUUUCUCAUGUACAAUCAAAUAAAAAAAAAAAAUAUUAAAUUAAACUUGGCUUA